GCGUGCUUAACACAUGCAAGUCGAACGAUGAAGGAGGAGCUUGCUCCUCCGGAUUAGUGGCGAACGGGUGAGUAACACGUGAGCAAUGUGCCCUUGACUCUGGAAUAAGCGCUGGAAACGGCGUCUAAUACCGGAUACGACCCUCGGAGGCAUCUCCAGGGGGUGGAAAGAACUUCGGUCAAGGAUCAGCUCACGGCCUAUCAGUUAGUUGGUGAGGUAACGGCUCACCAAGACGACGACGGGUAGCCGGCCUGAGAGGGUGACCGGCCACACUGGGACUGAGACACGGCCCAGACUCCUACGGGAGGCAGCAGUGGGGAAUAUUGCACAAUGGGCGCAAGCCUGAUGCAGCAACGCCGCGUGAGGGACGACGGCCUUCGGGUUGUAAUCCUCUUUUACCAGGGAAGAAGCGAAAGUGACGGUACCUGCAGAAAAAGCACCGGCUAACUACGUGCCAGCAGCCGCGGUAAUACGUAGGGUGCAAGCGUUGUCCGGAAUUAUUGGGCGUAAAGAGCUCGUAGGCGGUUUGUCACGUCUGCUGUGAAAUCCCGAGGCUCAACCUCGGGCUUGCAGUGGGUACGGGCAGACUAGAGUGCGGUAGGGGAGAUUGGAAUUCCUGGUGUAGCGGUGGAAUGCGCAGAUAUCAGGAGGAACACCGAUGGCGAAGGCAGAUCUCUGGGCCGUAACUGACGCUGAGGAGCGAAAGCAUGGGGAGCAAACAGGCUUAGAUACCCUGGUAGUCCAUGCCGUAAACGUUGGGAACUAGAUGUGGGGACCAUUCCACGGUCUCCGUGUCGUAGCUAACGCAUUAAGUUCCCCGCCUGGGGAGU
This 830-nucleotide ribosomal RNA is filed under the name Agrococcus sp. RNAcentral describes it as "bacterial SSU rRNA". It matches the Rfam family "Bacterial small subunit ribosomal RNA", at positions 42 to 881 of the family's 1533-position model. Lineage: Bacteria; Bacillati; Actinomycetota; Actinomycetes; Micrococcales; Microbacteriaceae. The record is from RNAcentral.